RNAcentral lists this ribosomal RNA (375 nucleotides) under uncultured eukaryote. RNAcentral describes it as "partial 18S ribosomal RNA". It matches the Rfam family "Eukaryotic small subunit ribosomal RNA", at positions 592 to 976 of the family's 1831-position model. The record is from RNAcentral.
CAAUAGCGUAUACUAAUGUUGCUGCAGUUAAAAAGCUCGUAGUUGAAUUUGUGGCGACUCCUGGGGUCCAUAUUGCUUGGUACUUUUUGGGGUUGCCAUCCUUGGGUGGAAUUUGUGUGGCAUUAGGUUGUCGUGCAGGGGAAGCCCAUCGUUUACUGUGAAAAAAUUAGAGUGUUCAAGGCAGUCCUUCGACGUUGAAUAUAUUAGCAUGGAAUAAUAAGAUAGGACCUUGGUACUAUUUUGUUGGUUUGCGCACCGAGGUAAUGAUUAACAGGGACAGUUGGGGGCAUUCGUAUUCCAUUGUCAGAGGUGAAAUUCUUGGAUUUUUGGAAGACGAACUACUGCGAAAGCAUUUGCCAGGGAUGUUUNCAUUAG